GUGAAUCAUCAAAUUUUUGAACGCAAAUUGCACUCCCUGGUAUUCCGGGGAGUAUGCCUGUUUGAGGGUCGUUAUAAUAAAAAAUCUAGUCGUCUCUCUUUUUUUUAAGGGUGAUCGCGUCGGUAUUGAGUCGUCUUUAAAUGUUAAUUCAUGUCAAAUUGUCUUAAAAUUUCAUCCAUCCGGUACGAUUAAAGCGUAUUUAUGAUCUAUUUUGAUUAAGAACGCGCGAUGUCGUACCAUCUCAUGUAGUACGUUUGACCUGGGUC
This 266-nucleotide unclassified non-coding RNA is filed under the name Funneliformis mosseae. Its description in RNAcentral is "partial contains 5.8S ribosomal RNA and internal transcribed spacer 2". The stretch from base 1 to 71 matches the Rfam family "5.8S ribosomal RNA", at positions 84 to 154 of the family's 154-position model. Lineage: Eukaryota; Fungi; Glomeromycota; Glomeromycetes; Glomerales; Glomeraceae. The record is from RNAcentral.